AGCGAACGCUGGCGGCAGGCUUAACACAUGCAAGUCGAGCGGGCAUCCUUGUGGUGUCAGCGGCAGACGGGUGAGUAACGCGUGGGAACGUGCCCUUCGGUUCGGAAUAACUCAGGGAAACUUGAGCUAAUACCGGAUACGUGCGAGAGCAGAAAGGUUUAUCUGCCGAAGGAUCGGCCCGCGUCUGAUUAGCUCGUUGGUGAGGUUAUGGCUCACCACGGCGACGAUCAGUAGCUGGUCUGAGAGGAUGAUCAGCCACACUGGGACUGAGACACGGCCCAGACUCCUACGGGAGGCAGCAGUGGGGAAUAUUGGACAAUGGGGGCAACCCUGAUCCAGCCAUGCCGCGUGAGUGAUGACGGCCUUAGGGUUGUAAAGCUCUUUUCUUCGGGACGAUAAUGACGGUACCGGAGGAAUAAGCCCCGGCUAACUUCGUG
RNAcentral lists this ribosomal RNA (437 nucleotides) under uncultured bacterium. Its description in RNAcentral is "partial 16S ribosomal RNA". It matches the Rfam family "Bacterial small subunit ribosomal RNA", at positions 29 to 507 of the family's 1533-position model. The record is from RNAcentral.